AUCGAACGCUGGCGGCAGGCCUAACACAUGCAAGUCGAGCGGAUGAAGGGAGCUUGCUCCUGGAUUCAGCGGCGGACGGGUGAGUAAUGCCCAGGAAUCUGCCUGGUUGUGGGGGAUAACGUCCGGAAACGGGCGCUAAUACCGCAUACGUCCUGAGGGAGAAAGUGGGGGAUCUUCGGACCUCACGCUAUCAGAUGAGCCUAGGUCGGAUUAGCUAGUUGGUGGGGUAAAGGCCUACCAAGGCGACGAUCCGUAACUGGUCUGAGAGGAUGAUCAGUCACACUGGAACUGAGACACGGUCCAGACUCCUACGGGAGGCAGCAGUGGGGAAUAUUGGACAAUGGGCGAAAGCCUGGUCCAGCCAUGCCACGUGUGUGAAGAAGGUCUUCGGAUUGUAAAGCAGUUUAAGUUGGGAGGAAGGGCAGUAAGUUAAUACCUUGCUGUUUUGACGUUACCGACAGAAUAAGCACCGGCUAACUUCGUG
RNAcentral lists this ribosomal RNA (484 nucleotides) under uncultured bacterium. RNAcentral describes it as "partial 16S ribosomal RNA". It matches the Rfam family "Bacterial small subunit ribosomal RNA", at positions 30 to 507 of the family's 1533-position model. The record is from RNAcentral.